Long non-coding RNA from Podarcis raffonei (Aeolian wall lizard), 487 nucleotides. RefSeq lists it as uncharacterized. The transcript is spliced from 2 exons. The record is from RefSeq and is a predicted model, not a curated record. NCBI's taxonomy places the organism in Eukaryota, Metazoa, Chordata, Lepidosauria, Squamata, Lacertidae.
GGAAGCCGAGAAGUCCCCCGCCGUCCGCGAAUAUGGCGCCUCCCGUUUAAAGGGGACGGAGGAGGAUGGAGAAAGGUUCAUCCUCACCAGCCAGAAAUUCAAAGAUCUUCUGGAGAGCUGGGAAAAGCUCCACACAAAACAAAACCCUUCUCUUUGUGAAAGAAGAGCAUUUUGAUUGAAGAGAACAGCUUUUAAGAGCAGGCCUCACAAGGGAACAGCUCUCAUCUUAACCCAGCUGCUUCACACAAGCGCGUGAGGACAUGCUUUUAAAAAUAGAAAAUCAGACAAAAAAGGCUGCUUUUUUGUAUUACCUUAAUGAUUUAUUACAGCGCUGAAUGACCCAACAGCUGUGCACCGCUGCCAACAAUCAUAAGCAGUGUCACUCAGUAUCAAAACAGUUAUCUACAAGUGGCCUAUUUCCAGACGCUGCUGCAAACACCCUGGGAGAACAGAACAGAAUGCAUAAUAAAGGCUCCUUGUGAAAGUG